RNAcentral lists this ribosomal RNA (497 nucleotides) under uncultured bacterium. RNAcentral's name for it is "partial 16S ribosomal RNA". It matches the Rfam family "Bacterial small subunit ribosomal RNA", at positions 28 to 506 of the family's 1533-position model. The record is from RNAcentral.
GACGAACGCUGGCGGCGUGCCUAAUACAUGCAAGUCGAGCGGACGAAUCGAAAGCUUGCUUUUGUUUCGUUAGCGGCGGACGGGUGAGUAACACGUGGGCAACCUGCCCUGUAGACGGGGAUAACACCGAGAAAUCGGUGCUAAUACCGGAUAACACGAAAUGUCGCAUGACGUUUCGUUGAAAGACGGCGCAAGCUGCCGCUACAGGUUGGGCCCGCCGCGCAUUAGCUGGUUGGUAGGGUAAGGGCUCCCCAAGGAGACGAGACUUAGCCGCCCUGAGAGGGUGAUCGGCCACACUGGGACUGAGACACGGCCCAGACUCCUACGGGAGGCAGCAGUAGGGAUCCUUCCGCAAUGGACGAAAGUCUGACGGAGCAACGCGGCGGGAGCGAAGAAGGCCUUCGGGUCGUAAAGCCCGGUUGUUAGGGAAGAACAAGUAACGCAGUAACGGGCGUUACCGUGACGGUACCUAACGAGAAAGCCACGGCUAACUACGU